GGACAAAGCAUCUCCAAAUGCUGGUUACGUGCUUUUAAUGUUUUAUCAUCUUUAUGAUGGCAAGAGUCAACAAGAGUUUGAGAGUGAAUUAAUUGAACGUUUUGGCUCUCUAGUGAAGAUGCCAUUGCUGAAAUCGGAUAGGAGUCCUCUGCCAGAUCCUGUGAGGUCAAUUUUGGAAGAGGGAAUAAAUCUAUACGGGCUUCACACCAACAGCCAUGGCAGAAUGGAAUCUACCAAGGGGUCAUAUGCAAAGGAAUGGGCAAAUUGGGAGAAGCGGUUGCGUGAAGUUCUAUUCAGCAAUGCGGA
RNAcentral lists this unclassified non-coding RNA (306 nucleotides) under Hevea brasiliensis (rubber tree). Lineage: Eukaryota; Viridiplantae; Streptophyta; Magnoliopsida; Malpighiales; Euphorbiaceae. The record is from RNAcentral.